GCCCCAGUAGCUCAGUAGGCAGAGCACCUGCCUUUUAAGCAGGGUGUCCGGGGUUCGAAUCCCCGCUGGAGCA
Molecule: transfer RNA, 73 nt
Organism: Firmicutes bacterium CAG:240
Lineage: Bacteria; Bacillati; Bacillota
Rfam family: tRNA
About the family: Transfer RNA (tRNA) molecules are approximately 80 nucleotides in length. Their secondary structure includes four short double-helical elements and three loops (D, anti-codon, and T loops).
Source: Rfam